Sphaeramia orbicularis (orbiculate cardinalfish) is the source of this 4726-nucleotide RNA transcript. It is a transcript of the gene named zic family member 6, with no coding region annotated. NCBI's taxonomy places the organism in Eukaryota, Metazoa, Chordata, Actinopteri, Kurtiformes, Apogonidae. The transcript has 8 exons. The record is from RefSeq and is a predicted model, not a curated record.
AUGCGCACAGCGACCAGGAAAUGAAACUCUCCGGCGCAUCACAGGGGGGUAGGAUGAUGUGGAUGUGACUAGUUAUAUAAAAAAUAUAGGGCGCACUUGGACUAAACAGACUGGAGGAUGUAGUCAUUUUCAGGCUAAUGCGCUUCUUGCCUGCGUAUGGAGAUGGAGCUCCUGCAUGACCUCGUGAACUUCUCUUCCGCAUGACCUCGAAAAUUACCUCUGACGGCUCCCUGAACACCCCUCCACAUCCCCGGACUCAUUUGCACAAGCUAUUACCCAAGCAGGAAGUGACAUCAACGGUCCAAACUAAAAAUAUGUCGCAGGACGGGCUGUCUAGGAUGUCCAGGACCGGUGUUUGUAAAGGAGGAUGCCUCGCACCGGCUCCAGAAAGUGAUGCUCACUGAAGGAUGCAGGAGAGAGUCACACAGGCGAGACAUACAGACGCACUGGAGGCUGAACUCUCUAUCACGGAUGUCUGUGUAACGUGGUGCUGUGUGCUAUCCACUUAUGGUUGAGCUCCUGGCUAUCUUCACCCACCAUGGUUCCUUCAUGAUGGCCCCCUAAUCUCUGCCAGUGUGGUUCCAUGUUGGAUCAUUGCAACUACAGAAGGGCUUGGCAUCCAAACAUCACUGAUGAAAGCAAGUGCAUAAGAUGGAUUCCAAGUAUGCAUUGCGAGGCUGCUGUGUAAUCAAGCCUGUGAACUCGACAUCUGAAGAAAGGAUUCUGUUUCUGAUCACAUCCCCACUGAAGUCCAUCCAUUUGCUGAACAUGGAUGUGUUGACACACACGUUUCCUCCACUUGGUGCUGCUAUGUGUUGCUGAAUUCCCUGAGUGAAGGCAUUACCAUCUCAUUUGGAUAAGGGUGAGAUUACCUCAUGCAACUGAGCUGUUUCAUCACAGGAAUGCAGGGGGAGCUGAACCGACGAUGCUGACUGUUUAUACCGCCAGCUGAAGACUCCUCAGGAAGGCUAAAAGCACACCUUACACACUGCUGAAGAUCAGUCUGCACAGUGAGGCCGUCAAGCCAUUAGUGAGCCCCAGCUCUGAUAAUGAAGCCGCAGAGGUGGUCUGAGCCAGUGAGGCGCUGGAGCUCGAGCACAGGAGGAAGGUAGAUUAGGAUAAUUACCUGGCCUAUGGGGGUACAAUGAGAGAGAUGUUUCACUUCCUGCAGGCCUAGAUUGGCAAUGUAAUCAUUUGGGUCUUGGAGGACGGAGAAACAGGAUAAUCUGUUGCAAUCAUUUUUCCUGAUCAAAACGUGAAAUGAUCCACAUUUGAUUUUGUUGUGCUGACGGUGAUUGCUUGUCCUCUGUUUUUGCCGUCUGCAUCUCUUGCAUAUACUGUGAGUAAGUGGUAGGUAUCCUCCCUCAUGGAGGCUUUGAAGAGCCUAUGAGGUCAUGUUUUAAAUUAUGGUCUGCACCCACACCAGGCUUUCUUUCCCCACUCCUGUAAAUCCAUUUUCCACACAAUGCAUUUCAAAUCAAAGCGGCGUCACCAUAACAUGCCUUAGGAAACAUUAAGCCAUAGUGCGUUACUUUCAUGUACGAUAGCAUAGCCCCUGUAUGCUUUGAUGUGCUCACUUUUUUAAUGCUUUAUUAAUAAUAACACACUGACUCCUUCUCACACCACAUCAGCUUCUGGUGCUCUUUUCUCUCCUCCUGAACUACAUCCUUCACUCCUUCCAUGCCUCGGUCCCUUCAUCCCUCCCCAGCCCCUGAGCCCCGUCUUGGGAUUGGCCCGUUUGUGUAUGGGAGGAGGAUUAGAGGGACUGACAUGGGCCCCGAGAUGAAGAGAGUGACAAAGACCUAUCAGAGGGCAGAGUGUGCAAAGCGCUGCAUCACCAUUGGCUGCUGUGGAAAUCAGACACGUCUUCAUUUCUUCCAGCCAUCCUCUCAAAGUACGAGCUUUUAUUUCCAUGCCUGGGGAGGGAAGGAAUGGGGGGGUGCAUUUAAGUGUGUGUGUGUACAUGUGUGUUUGCUUGCAUGUUGUGAGAAGUAAACAUCUUAGAGAUACAGAGGGAUGAGCACAUAGACACUGAUAGCACUCACCUCCUCCGAAUCUGGCCAAAAUACAAAUGCUGUAGCAGCCUGCAGAAUACGAGUGUUGGUUUAGAUGAAUAUGUUCCCUUUGAAUGGGAUGCCUGCAUCAUAGGCAUGUAAAUGCUACUUACAUACUGAGUUAUCUGAUUGCUCUUUUAUUUUAUUCUAGUUAUUUUUUCCAUCAGAAGUGUGCUGAAAUGCACAAUGACUUUUCAGAUGGAAAUUUACUGAAUAACUUACUCACCCCCUACAUUUGCAUGUGUGUGUACAUGUGUGUGUACAUGUGUGGCGACGUGCUGAUGAAGCGUUAUGCUUUUGUACUUUUUUUCCUUUUUGAUGUUUAACAGGUUUUGUUAUGAAGAAUUGCUGAGUCUCCAUUUUUGCCAUUUUAAUCAUUUAUGUUCAUGACUUGUUGACCAAAAUCUUCAAACAAAAUUUGUGCUUAAACACCAUAUAAAAUAAAUAUCUUGAUAAAAGUUUAAUACUUAAUUUGGUUUCUGUCUAUAUUCAGUCUUUGCCAUUGCAUUUUUUAUGGCAUGCAUUCAUUUCUUCUAUGCGCAGCCAUACCAAUAUGUAGUACUCUCACGCUGAUUAUUCAGUGUUAUGCAAUGUUUUAGAUGCAGAUUUGACAACAUUCUGCAGAAGAAAGUUUUCAUAUGAAGAAUGUGCUUGUAGAGCUUGUUGUGCACCAGACUGUUGUCAGUAUCUGCCUUCUUGUUAGGACGCCACCAGCUGACUCUGGUUGUCUGCACAUUGAUAUGACUGGGAGCAGUAGGGCUCGGCCCCAGCCGACUCCACUCUCCUCAUGGCCCAUAAUAGAUCUGCGUGGUUUACAGGCCCACCAGGGGCACCUGGCUCCCCUCCCUGCCAUCUCAGGCUGGAUCGAUAGCGAGGCCAUCCCAGCCCAGAGACCGGGGUCAGCUUCAAAGGCCUCCUGCCCACUUCCUGCCACCUGGUGUUCUAUUUUGGACAAAGGAGAACAUUUCGUUUACAUUGGCUCCACCCUCCUUUGCCCUUCGAUGAACAGGUUAAGGACAUGGAGUCGGUACGGCUCCUCCCUAUGAUCUCCUUCAGCCUCCUUUUCUCACACUGAGGGAAAAAGGUUGACACAUAAGUCAACUGAAACCUCAGAGAAUCAUCCACCCCUUUUGUGAGUAUCUGCAUAUGAUUUUAUGAUGACAUUAGAAUGUUAGAAGCUGUUUGGUAUUUUUCCAUUUGUUACAACCCACAUUUCGGGGCCUGGCAAGUAUCAAAUGGAGUCAAUACAUGGUAAGAGGAAAACAUUUACUGUCUUUCCUGCAUCUUCACAGAUUGUAUGUAUCAUAUUAAAUACAUAGUCUGCAUAAAAAAAUCUUGCAUAAACCGGUUUAUAAGUACGAAAUUAAGUGAACUUUUUGGCUCUGACUUAAGACAUGUUUCAUCAUUAACAGACCUCUCUCUCUUUCCCCAUUGGUCAAGUAACAAAUGGCAGGGCUAUUGAACACACAUUUUAUGGCCAUGAGGGCUGUCGUUCAAUUAGCUCCAAGAAUACAUAUUAAUCAUUUGAGAUUUUUGAAUCUGUUUAUUAAGCCCAGCCAUUUUUUACCCUCCAAUACAUUAGCAGAUCUCAGUAUGUCCACUACUCUUGUGAACAGGGAUGAGAAGGAGAUAGAGGGAGAGGAAAUAAAGGUCUGAUGAGUUUGGCAAAGAGAGGAUGGAGGCUGAGACAGAUGGCAUGAAGUCUGCAGCACUCUGGCGUGGCUCGCCUGGUGCUAAAAUCCUCCUCUCUCACAUUCCAACAAAUCCUACCAGGAGGCUGGGGAGUCUGUCACACCACUCCAAGGAUCCACACGGCUCCCUUCAGCCCCCCACCACCACCACCACCCCACACCCUCCUUCCUCCAUCUCCUCUGUGGACCCCCCCCCCCCCAGCUGAGUCUUUGACCACUCUGUAUUGCAUUCCUUCUAUUUUACCCUCACAUAUGUAUACAUUUGCAGAAAUUCAUAGAUUGGUAGAGAUGGGUCACUUGGACCUUUACAGGCCUGUAAGAUAAGAAACACCAGGGGGUACAGAUAUGGGCUGAAGCUGUCUCGCUGCUCUUAUGAAAAAAGAACCAGGGGGGCUUAAUUGAGUGAGGUGGCCUUUACUGUGACUCAAGUGUAAAAAAUCUUAUUCAGUAAACACUGGGCCAAAUCAUGAGGGGAAGACUAUACAAUCCAUUUAUAUCAGAGGGAGAAGACAUAAGAAGCUUUUGAUUAGUUUCACCACAGCCCACAUCAGGCCAUGGUCUUGAACAGAAACACAGUAGCCCAAUCUCAAUCCUAACAUACACUACUCAGCCUCAUAUUUCCAGGCUCCCCAUGGACCUUACAAUCCAAAGUGGACAGUAACUGCACAGUGAUUACAAAAGACCAACAACUGGAUCACGGGCCCCACAUGGCAUAUUUAUGCCCUGUUCUGGAAAUGGCAUGCUAUUGAAUGUCUUUUUAAUUUUGCAGCUAUCUCAAAGCACUACAUCUAAUAAGAACAAUCUAAUUUAUUUUAUACUGUGCUUUGUCUCCAUGUUUCUCUCUCAUUGUCUUUCUUCCAGCCUUCUGUUUGUUCUAAUGAAUGACUUCUGAGAUGAAGUGCUGCUGUGAGGAGGUCACAAAGGGCUUCGGCAUCACAUUACUGUUAAUGAUAAUAAAAAGAACAAUCUGUGCUAAACCUC